Molecule: ribosomal RNA, 267 nt
Filed under: Bifidobacterium bifidum
Lineage: Bacteria; Bacillati; Actinomycetota; Actinomycetes; Bifidobacteriales; Bifidobacteriaceae
Description: partial 23S ribosomal RNA
Rfam family: Bacterial large subunit ribosomal RNA
Source: RNAcentral
GUUGCUUGCAAGGGCGUAUGGUGGAUGCCUUGGCAGACAGUACCGAUGAAGGACGUUUGAGGCUGCGAUAUGCCUCGGGGAGCCGCCAGCAGGGCUUUGAUCCGAGGAUUUCCGAAUGGGGGAACCCGCCGGCCGUCAUGGGCCGGCACCGCGUUCGCGCGGGGGGUACGCAGGGAAGUGAAACAUCUCAGUACCUGCAGGAAAGGAUGUUCCGUGAGUAGUGGCGAGCGAAAGCGGAUCAGGCCAAACCGCGCGCGUGUGACAGGC